Molecule: ribosomal RNA, 1445 nt
Filed under: uncultured organism
Description: SSU rRNA
Rfam family: Bacterial small subunit ribosomal RNA
Source: RNAcentral
AACGCUAGCUACAGGCUUAACACAUGCAAGUCGAGGGGCAGCAUGGUCUUAGCUUGCUAAGGCCGAUGGCGACCGGCGCACGGGUGAGUAACACGUAUCCAACCUGCCGUCUACUCUUGGACAGCCUUCUGAAAGGAAGAUUAAUACAAGAUGGCAUCAUGAGUCCGCAUGUUUACAUGAUUAAAGGUAUUCCGGUAGACGAUGGGGAUGCGUUCCAUUAGAUAGUAGGCGGGGUAACGGCCCACCUAGUCUUCGAUGGAUAGGGGUUCUGAGAGGAAGGUCCCCCACAUUGGAACUGAGACACGGUCCAAACUCCUACGGGAGGCAGCAGUGAGGAAUAUUGGUCAAUGGGCGAGAGCCUGAACCAGCCAAGUAGCGUGAAGGAUGACUGCCCUAUGGGUUGUAAACUUCUUUUAUAAAGGAAUAAAGUCGGGUAUGGAUACCCGUUUGCAUGUACUUUAUGAAUGAGGAUCGGCUAACUCCGUGCCUGCAGCCGCGGUAAUACGGAGGAUCCGAGCGUUAUCCGGAUUUAUUGGGUUUAAAGGGAGCGUAGAUGGAUGUUUAAGUCAGUUGUGAAAGUUUGCGGCUCAACCGUAAAAUUGCAGUUGAUACUGGAUAUCUUGAGUGCAGUUGAGGCAGGCGGAAUUCGUGGUGUAGCGGUGAAAUGCUUAGAUAUCACGAAGAACUCCGAUUGCGAAGGCAGCCUGCUAAGCUGCAACUGACAUUGAGGCUCGAAAGUGUGGGUAUCAAACAGGAUUAGAUACCCUGGUAGUCCACACGGUAAACGAUGAAUACUCGCUGUUUGCGAUAUACUGCAAGCGGCCAAGCGAAAGCGUUAAGUAUUCCACCUGGGGAGUACGCCGGCAACGGUGAAACUCAAAGGAAUUGACGGGGGCCCGCACAAGCGGAGGAACAUGUGGUUUAAUUCGAUGAUACGCGAGGAACCUUACCCGGGCUUAAAUUGCAGAUGAAUUACGGUGAAAGCCGUAAGCCGCAAGGCAUCUGUGAAGGUGCUGCAUGGUUGUCGUCAGCUCGUGCCGUGAGGUGUCGGCUUAAGUGCCAUAACGAGCGCAACCCUUGUUGUCAGUUACUAACAGGUUCCGCUGAGGACUCUGACAAGACUGCCAUCGUAAGAUGUGAGGAAGGUGGGGAUGACGUCAAAUCAGCACGGCCCUUACGUCCGGGGCUACACACGUGUUACAAUGGGGGGUACAGAGGGCCGCUACCACGCGAGUGGAUGCCAAUCCCCAAAACCUCUCUCAGUUCGGACUGGAGUCUGCAACCCGACUCCACGAAGCUGGAUUCGCUAGUAAUCGCGCAUCAGCCACGGCGCGGUGAAUACGUUCCCGGGCCUUGUACACACCGCCCGUCAAGCCAUGGGAGCCGGGGGUACCUGAAGUGCGUAACCGCGAGGAGCGCCCUAGGGUAAAACUGGUGACUGGGGC